GACGAACGCUGGCGGCGUGCUUAACACAUGCAAGUCGAACGGAAAGGCCCUGCUUUUGUGGGGUGCUCGAGUGGCGAACGGGUGGGUAACACGUGAGUAACCUGCCCUUGACUUUGGGAUAACUUCAGGAAACUGGGGCUAAUACCGGAUAGGAGCUCCUGCUGCAUGGUGGGGGUUGGAAAGUUUCGGCGGUUGGGGAUGGACUCGCGGCUUAUCAGCUUGUUGGUGGGGUAGUGGCUUACCAAGGCUUUGACGGGUAGCCGGCCUGAGAGGGUGACCGGCCACAUUGGGACUGAGAUACGGCCCAGACUCCUACGGGAGGCAGCAGUGGGGAAUAUUGCAAAAUGGGCGGAAGCCUGAUGCAGCAACGCCGCGUGCGGGAUGACGGCCUUCGGGUUGUAAACCGCUUUCGCCUGUGACGAAGCGUGAGUGACGGUAAUGGGUAAAGAAGCACCGGCUAACUACGUG
This 468-nucleotide ribosomal RNA is filed under the name uncultured bacterium. Its description in RNAcentral is "partial 16S ribosomal RNA". It matches the Rfam family "Bacterial small subunit ribosomal RNA", at positions 28 to 507 of the family's 1533-position model. The record is from RNAcentral.